CAUUAGCAUUGGGAAAUGCCAAUGCCAAAUCUAAAGGAAAUUUAACAUUUUCAACAUCAAAACACUCUGUAUCAGGGAAUGGCAAACAGCACUAUUGUAAAUUUUUUUGCAAUAGUGCUACAGUGCAAUUCUAUGUUUAGAAUUGCACUGUAGCAAGUAUUGUAUCAAAAAUAAUAUAUUUUAUGUGUUUCCCCCUAAAACUUCUCUCUCAUGAAAUCAUUCUGCGCGGGCUCUCCUCUCUCUCUAUUCAUUCUCUGUUUCUCAUUUGCUCUCUCCUCAUCUCUGAAGCUUCAUCUCCGAAAUGUCAAUGUGACUAUCUCCGAAAUUUCUGGACCCAUCUCCAUCUCUAUCUCCGAAAUUUCUCACCCGAUUCACCCUCUCACCCAUUCACCGAUUCACCCUCACCGAUUCACCCUCACCCUCACCUCACCCGGUCACCGAUUCACCCUCACCCAUUCACCCUCACCGAUUCAUCCUCACCCAUCUCCAUCUCUGAAGCUUCACCCUCACCCAUUCACCGAUUCACCCUCACCUCACCCAUUCACCCUCACCGAUUCACCCUCACCCAUCUUAACCGAUUCACCCUCACCCAUUCUCAAGGGUUUUUAGGUUUGGGUUCAGAUUUUGCAAAAACGAAGCUCCGUCGGUGUUGGGGGAUUCAGCUCCGUCGGUGUUGGUGCUGACUGUAAGAGUUUUUGUUGUUGAUUUAGCAUCUUCGAGACCGUAAGCUCGAGUUCAUCUUCAGAAAGUUUGCUCGGUUCAUCUUCAAUUACUAGUUGAAUUUGACAGGUUCUAUAUGUGUGUGUGGAUCAGAAAAAUUGGCAGGUUCUAUAUGUGUGUGUCUGUAUUUGAUAGGUUCUAUAUGUGUGUGUGGAUCAGAAAAAUUGGCAGGUUCUAUGUGUGUGCAUGUAUUUGGCAGCUUGUUUGAAUAGUUGUUGAAUUUGACAAAAAAAAAAAAAAAACGUUUGCUGGAAAGAAAUGAUGAAGGCCAGGGAAAGAUAUUUGAUAUGUUCUUUGGAAUAGACGUUGAAUUUGACCCCCAAAAAAAAAAAAAUGGUUUGCUGGAAAGAAAUUAUAUAAAUGGUUGUGGUGCUUUAAAAUCCCUACCAAUGUCCAAUUGUACAUGCCUGGAAUAUGCAACUAUUGAGAGUUGUAGUUCUUUGAUGUUCAUUUCAAAACGCCAGCUACCUCCAACUUUGAAAAGCCUAGUGAUAAAUGAUUGCAAGAAUUUGCAAUUUUUGAUAGACGAGGGAGAGGCUUCUUCUUUAUUAUUGAAAGAGGAGAGUAUUAAGAAAGCUACUAGGAACUUGCAAAGGCAAGAGCAUUUCAAGGACCAAGCAUGUGGACGAAAAUGGUGUGGAGCCUCCACAGAGGAUGUUACAUGGAUAUGGGAGCAACCUGUUCUCAGUUGACAUUGGUGCUGAUCGGAUAGUGUGUGCAGGGGAGGAAGGUGCUGUUAGGAUCUUUAAUUUCACACAAGCAUUGGAAAUUGAGAAGAGGACUCGUGAUUUAAGACGAAUACGGUUAGAUAAUAGGAUGAGGCGGCGUAAGCUCCAAAUAGAGAUGAACAGUAAAGGUGGUCGGACUGAUCAAUGUUCAGUUGCAGCUAAGAAGAACACAGUUAAUGGUGAUAGGGGUAGUGCUUGGCACAAUAAGCGUGGGGUGAGCAGCAAGCUGAAGGCGUAGCAGCAGAUAACAAGUACUGGUUGAUUUUCGGUUCCAUCAUUUUUUCACACUUUGUGGGCAUUUUAGCGUAAGGAUGGUGUAAAAUUCAUUUUCUAAGCAGGCAAGCUGACUUAUGGCCAAAAAAAAAAAAAAAGAAGGUAGGUAAGCUGACUAAUUGUGGUUUUAUCGUGCUAUAUUUGAAUUAUAAAUUUGAUGUUCAUUUAAUAUUAGUUGUUACAUACUUUGUUAUGUUCAGUUGGUU
Long non-coding RNA from Quercus robur (English oak), 1927 nucleotides. RefSeq lists it as uncharacterized. NCBI's taxonomy places the organism in Eukaryota, Viridiplantae, Streptophyta, Magnoliopsida, Fagales, Fagaceae. The transcript has 3 exons. The record is from RefSeq and is a predicted model, not a curated record.